This 614-nucleotide ribosomal RNA is filed under the name Nocardia sp. Ri3Pw_6397. RNAcentral describes it as "bacterial SSU rRNA". It matches the Rfam family "Bacterial small subunit ribosomal RNA", at positions 395 to 1018 of the family's 1533-position model. Lineage: Bacteria; Bacillati; Actinomycetota; Actinomycetes; Mycobacteriales; Nocardiaceae. The record is from RNAcentral.
CGCCGCGUGAGGGAUGACGGCCUCCGGGUUGUAAACCUCUUUUGACAGGGACGAAGCGCAAGUGACGGUACCUGUAGAAGAAGCACCGGCCAACUACGUGCCAGCAGCCGCGGUAAUACGUAGGGUGCGAGCGUUGUCCGGAAUUACUGGGCGUAAAGAGCUUGUAGGCGGUCUGUCACGUCGAUUGUGAAAACUUGCAGCUCAACUGCAAGCUUGCAGUCGAUACGGGCAGACUAGAGUACUUCAGGGGAGACUGGAAUUCCUGGUGUAGCGGUGAAAUGCGCAGAUAUCAGGAGGAACACCGGUGGCGAAGGCGGGUCUCUGGGAAGUAACUGACGCUGAGAAGCGAAAGCGUGGGUAGCGAACAGGAUUAGAUACCCUGGUAGUCCACGCCGUAAACGGUGGGUACUAGGUGUGGGUUUCCUUCCACGGGAUCCGUGCCGUAGCUAACGCAUUAAGUACCCCGCCUGGGGAGUACGGCCGCAAGGCUAAAACUCAAAGGAAUUGACGGGGGCCCGCACAAGCGGCGGAGCAUGUGGAUUAAUUCGAUGCAACGCGAAGAACCUUACCUGGGUUUGACAUACACCGGAAAGCCAUAGAGAUAUGGCCCCCCU